This 413-nucleotide unclassified non-coding RNA is filed under the name soil metagenome. RNAcentral's name for it is "partial contains 5.8S ribosomal RNA, internal transcribed spacer 2, and large subunit ribosomal RNA". The stretch from base 1 to 120 matches the Rfam family "5.8S ribosomal RNA", at positions 35 to 154 of the family's 154-position model. The record is from RNAcentral.
GAUGAAGAACGCAGCGAAAUGCGAUAAGUAAUGUGAAUUGCAGAAUUCAGUGAAUCAUCGAAUCUUUGAACGCACCUUGCGCUCUUUGGUAUUCCGAAGAGCAUGCCUGUUUGAGUGUCAUGAAAAUAUCAACCUUGACUUGGGUUUUGUGCUCUAGUCUCGGCUUGGAAUUGGGUGCUUGCCGCUUUUACGAGCGGCUCACCUUAAAUGUAUUAGCUGGAUCUGUCUUUGAGACUUGGUUUGACUUGGCGUAAUAAGUAUUUCGCUAAGGACAUUCUUCGGAGUGGCCUCGUUUCUAGGACGCUUGUCCGCUUUCCAAUACAAGUUCCACCUCGUGGACAUGACUUUUUAUUAUCUGGCCUCGAAUCAGGUAGGACUACCCGCUGAACUUAAGCAUAUCAAUAAGCGGAGGA